Molecule: unclassified non-coding RNA, 182 nt
Filed under: uncultured fungus
Lineage: Eukaryota; Fungi
Description: sequence contains ITS1, 5.8S rRNA gene
Source: RNAcentral
CAUGAUUACCUUUUUUAACAAACUGUGAACUUUAUAAUUUUUACUAUUCGUGUGUUGAACUUUAUGUUGAAUUACACUGUCAUUCGAUGAACAUUAGAUAGCUGGCUUGUUUUGAUCAACUUUCUCAGCUGAUUGUUUGUAUUGACUAAACAUCUUACAACAAUCACCAUACAACAUAGAAA